UGAAUCAUUAUAAGUCACCUGUUUUUCAAUAAAAAUAAAAUAAAGAAAUUUUAGCUCAAAAGAAAGAAUUGAAAGGGAAGAAAGAAGGAGGUUGACUUAUGGCAGAAUGGGAUUUGCAUAAGAUUGUGAAUGUAAUUAUCAUCUGAUCAUUUAUGAAACGUGAGGUCCCCUAGUACAGAGUUUGCUUUGAAACAACUUACAUCUUUUUGGUUUUGCUUGUGUAACUGGGAGGUUUAUCUGGGAAAUGUUUAGGAGUAGAUAUUUGAUACUUUGAUGUAACUAUAUCGGGUACCCCCACAAAAAUCCUAGCAGGAGGAAAGAAUUGGUUCCUUGCCAUCCAAGGGCCAGCUAUGCAUUUGGGGGCAUUCUUAUGCUUUAAUGAUAAUUAAGUUCAAUUUUAGAAGUAAAUAACUUGGAAAUAUGGCUUAGACCUCAAAAAUGUUGGCCAUUAUUAGCAUGACUAUGAUGAUAAUAUAUAUACUGAGUAAGCAAUGGUCCCUGAUUGAACAAGUCCAUGGACCAAAAUUUAUGCCUUCGGUAUCUAUACAAUAAGGAGGGACUAAACGCAGAGACAAAGAUGGACACCCUUGCUUACAGUCAAAUGUUAUGCAGCCAUUGGAGAUGUCUUACAUCACUGCUCAAACAAGUACUUAGCACAGUCCCUGGAACAUAGGGCCACUCAGGGUGGCCAGACUGGGGAGUGUCUGCUUUGCUCUUCAGUGCUGUCCACUAUCCUCCCAAUUUAUGUGCGAGUCUCUCUUUUGAUGGAGGAAGCACACAUUGAACUGUCUAGGAAGACUCCCACUGGCUUAGGUUUGCUGCACAUCUCUAGGAUUUGCUCUUUACUUCAUCUAUCACUUUAAUUAUCCUGGUAAACUUCUCUUCCAAUUAUUUUCUCUUUUUUCCUCUGCCUAUUUUCCACAGUCUUCUUCUGUCAUUGAGUUCACUCUUUCCAUUCCCUGGGGCUGGACACCCUGUCUUCUCUUAGUCUGUUGACACUGAGGCACAGGUAUCCUGUAUUGCCCAGCUACCUAUCGGCAGGGAUGUAUUCCCUUUUGCUAACCAUCUGCAGAAUGGGAAGGCCCGUUGCUUUGUCUGUGUAGCUGGUUUAUCGGAAACUGAUGGAAACCUGUAGAGAAGAACCAGGGCCUCCUCCUGUGUUGGUCUGUAGGCAUCCCACUUGGCCCCAGCAAAGCAGAGUGAAACCCAAAGGCUUGUUUCACACUUGACCUUUAGGCUGACCUGUAGGAUUGAUCCCCUGGUGAACCUCAUGCUAUUUAGGUAUUUUCUUCAAGACAUAGGAGCUACUGAAAGCUUCUAGAAAGCUUUGCAUUUUUUAAAAUGGAAGUAAAAGUUAAUAUUUUUAAAUAGUUGCCAUAUCAUGACUCACUGUUUUGACAUCGCACUGAAAUAAUUUAUGAGUGUUUUACAUCUUUACAUUUAAAUACAUCUGAUACCUCUUUGAAGCAGCUAAAAACUGUUCCAGACCCAGUACCAGCUGUCAUGUGAAUAGGGAUUAUUCUUUGGGGACAAGGAAUGGAGGACAUCUCCCGACCCUCUGAUUCAUUUAUAUAUAAAAAGAUUGUGUGUCACUCAUUUUCCUUGAUCUUUUAUAUAUAGUAGAAUCCAGCUUGCAAAUUUAUAGGGCUUAGACGAUUUUUUUAAAAAAAAUUACUGAAUUAAAUUCUGGAAUAAAACUUUAAUUUUAUUGGCAUUUAAUGGAAUUCUUUUCACUGUGGAGCAAAACAAAAGAUACUUUUAAUUCUCUAUCAAAUCAUUAACCUUGGUAUUUGAACUAACUGAAAGUACCAUCUUGCACAAUCUCAAGACCUCCUUGAAGGCAAAACAUUGUAUUAUCAUCAUCUUUAUUUCACCCCAGAGUGUCUAGGAAAGCAAGACCACAGCUGAUGAAAAAUCAGUUUGCUAAUGAACUGCAUUUAAGUUGUAGCAGAGAGAUGCUCAAAUGACACCUCCUAGGAACUGAAAAAAGAAAAUUGUUUUAUUUUUCACUGCCUCUUAAAUCUGCAGUUUCACUGUUUCUUUCCCCUCCUCUUUUCUAGACAGCUCUCAAUCUCCAGAUGUCCUUUUCAUGGAGACACUUAUAGUUCCUGUCUGGUGAUCUAGGAAAGUUCAAUUCUGUCUUCAGAACAUCUUUACCCUUGGCAUGCCUGCCAGUAUGGGCUCCCUCCUGCUGAGCACAUUUUCUCCUCUUUUUCACAUAAGUCCAAAUAUCUCCCACUUACAUUUCAAAGAUAUUAGACUAAAAGUGCUGGUGUCUGAAGCCUUCCCCUUUCUUCUGAAGAAACCCUCCAUCACGAAGACAAAUGUACGCAUAUGAGCAUUCUGUCCCAUCAUGGUGCACGUUGACAGCAUUCAAGAUGCCUUUGGAUAAAUUGGUCUGACUCUCAGCUUGAAAAUUCCUUCUCUUUCCCUUCUGCCCAGUGAAUAUGUAUUCAGCUUCCAUUGCUCUAUUCAACUAUCUCUACUUCUGUGCAUCUUUCUCAUUUAUUUUGGUUGGAAAUAGAUAUUUCUUCCAGUGGCCCUCUGCAUAAGCCCCUCUGACAACCUUAUAUCUUGAUGCAUGGUGGUUAAAUAUUCGUAUGCUCCCCCUAUCCCCAGCACAGUCCUGGACUUCUCAAGCAUAAGAAAACUAUCUUAUUCUGUUCUGUAAUCACUACCCAGAAUGAAGUAUGGAUCCUCAUACCCACUGAGCACUUGAUAAUGUCUGUACAACAGAUUUGAGUGUAUAUAGCAUUGGGAUUAUCUGAAGGGAAACACUUGUGAAUGAUAUAGAGUUAACAACUGAUUUUGAAUGAGGUGUAUGCUAAGCUAGAAUUUGAAGAGAAACAGUUUGUUUAUAGAAAACAAAUGAUACACUGAGUUAAAUUUUAUAUGCGUCUCCACUAACAAGGGUUCUUGUAUUGGUAGUUCAUCAACAAAUGGAAAUGAUUUCUUUUGGAAAAAUUGCAGGAAUUUGGAGUAAUAUAAAAGUUUAAUAUUUUGAAACUUAUUGAAAUGGAAGAUAAAAAUGAAUCACAGUACUGAAAUAAAUGUUGUUAAACAUGUGCUUAUUUCCUCAUAAAAAAGCAGGACUUGAGAUAAUCUUUGAAAGGUAUUAUGAGAUAUUUAUUUUAUUUAUUUUUUUAUGGCAGUAUGCAUGGCCUAUGGAGGUUCUCAGGCCAGGGAUUGAAUUUAAGAUGCAGCUGCGACCUACCCUGCAGUUGUGGCAAUGCUGGAUCUUUUAACCCACUGAACCUCCAUGGCAACCCGAGCUGCUGCAGUCAGAUUCUUAACCCACUGCACAACAGUGGGAACUCCAGAAAUUUCUUGAUUCAAUUUUAUUUGAAACAAAAAUGUAAUUAUAAUGUAUACAUGUAAGGAUAACUUGAUCCCCUUGCUGUACCAUGAGAAAAUAAAAAAAAUAAAAAA
This 3429-nucleotide long non-coding RNA is filed under the name Sus scrofa (pig). RNAcentral describes it as "lncRNA (ENSSSCG00030014324.1)". The record is from RNAcentral. Lineage: Eukaryota; Metazoa; Chordata; Mammalia; Artiodactyla; Suidae.